RNAcentral lists this ribosomal RNA (521 nucleotides) under uncultured bacterium. Its description in RNAcentral is "bacterial SSU rRNA". It matches the Rfam family "Bacterial small subunit ribosomal RNA", at positions 777 to 1297 of the family's 1533-position model. The record is from RNAcentral.
AAUAGAUACCCAGGUAGUCCACGCCGUAAACGAUGAGUGCUAAGUGUUAGAGGGUUUCCGCCCUUUAGUGCUGAAGUUAACGCAUUAAGCACUCCGCCUGGGGAGUACGGCCGCAAGGCUGAAACUCAAAGGAAUUGACGGGGGCCCGCACAAGCGGUGGAGCAUGUGGUUUAAUUCGAAGCAACGCGAAGAACCUUACCAGGUCUUGACAUCCUCUGACAACCCUAGAGAUAGGGCUUCUCCUUCGGGAGCAGAGUGACAGGUGGUGCAUGGUUGUCGUCAGCUCGUGCCGUGAGAUGUUGGGUUAAGUCCCGCAACGAGCGCAACCCUUGAUCUUAGUUGCCAUCAUUAAGUUGGGCACUCUAAGGUGACUGCCGGUGACAAACCGGAGGAAGGUGGGGAUGACGUCAAAUCAUCAUGCCCCUUAUGACCUGGGCUACACACGUGCUACAAUGGACGGUACAAAGAGCUGCAAGACCGCGAGGUGGAGCUAAAUCUCAUAAAACCGUUCUCAGUUCGGA